UACGUAGGGGGCGAGCGUUGUCCGGAUUUAUUGGGCGUAAAGAGCUCGUAGGCGGUGUGUUACGUCGGCCGUGAAAACCUGCAGCUUAACUGUGGGCGUGCGGUCGAUACGGGCAUCACUGGAGUUCGGCAGGGGAGACUGGAAUUCCUGGUGUAGCGGUGAAAUGCGCAGAUAUCAGGAGGAACACCGGUGGCGAAGGCGGGUCUCUGGGCCGAUACUGACGCUGAGGAGCGAAAGCGUGGGGAGCAAACAGG
Molecule: ribosomal RNA, 254 nt
Filed under: uncultured bacterium
Lineage: Bacteria
Description: partial 16S ribosomal RNA
Rfam family: Bacterial small subunit ribosomal RNA
Source: RNAcentral